RNAcentral lists this long non-coding RNA (2253 nucleotides) under Citrus sinensis (sweet orange). RNAcentral's name for it is "long non-coding RNA (CSIN_LNC002173)". Lineage: Eukaryota; Viridiplantae; Streptophyta; Magnoliopsida; Sapindales; Rutaceae. The record is from RNAcentral.
CACAUGGCCAGCCCUAAUUUCUUAAUCCAAACCUAAUCACACACAAAUACACAAUCACGCUGCCUACAAUAGAUUUGGUCAUCUGCUGUGCUGCUUGCCGACAACAAAUUGCUGCUCUUCGUCUUCGUCUUCGUCUUCGUCCUCAUCCCCGAUCUCUAGCUUGCUGGCUAUUCCCAUUUCCUUUUGUUUCGCAACUUAAUGGUUGUUGCCGGUAGCCUGCUACCUUCUUCAACUCCGAGCUAUAGCUAAUGCCUUCUUAAUUUAGAUUUUCUUCAAGUUCGAGUUGCUGCUACUGUAUUCUUUUGUGAGAGGUAAGCUGAUGGGUUCUUUCAUUUGUACACUAGGGUUUGGGGUUCUCUGAUCAGAAUAUAUCGGCUGGUCUGGUGAUUGCUCAACCGCCGUCGAUUUUUGAGGUGCCGCCCAGGUUGAGCCCCGCAAUUCUACUUGACUCGCUAAAUUUCAGUUUGUUUUCGCCUACACAGGUAAUUCAAUUUAACUUUGUCUGACCUAAAGUUUCUUCAUUUAUUCAUUAGAUUUUAGCUUGUUUAGGAAAGCUUUCAUUUUUAUUGGGUUUCGCAUUUAAAUUCUAAUAAUCCUUGGGUUUGAAUUUUGAUUUUUUUUUUUUUGGAGGGAUGGAAAAUUUUCUUCAUUGCCUUGAUUUGUUAGCAGUCGGUUGGAAUUUUGAAUUAGAGCUUGCUGAAGCAUUUAUUAUAGAAUUUAUAAAUGUGCCCUGUAAUUGGGAUAAAAACUCUUGACUUAAUUAAUCUGACAGAAGAACAUUUUGAGCAAUGUUGUAAUGUGAUUGUGCAUUGCUGAGAUAAUCUCAUCUUGUUUUGGUAUUCUAACCAAUAAAAAAAAAUUUAAGUGUUGGACUCCCCUUCGGCUUCACAUGGCAAGCCCUAAUUUCUUAAUCCAAACCUAAUCACACACAAAUACACAAUCACGCUGCCUACAAUAGAUUUGGUCAUCUGCUGUGCUGCUUGCCGACAACAAAUUGCUGCUCUUCGUCUUCGUCUUCGUCUUCGUCCUCAUCCCCGAUCUCUAGCUUGCUGGCUAUUCCCAUUUCCUUUUGUUUCGCAACUUAAUGGUUGUUGCCGGUAGCCUGCUACCUUCUUCAACUCCGAGCUAUAGCUAAUGCCUUCUUAAUUUAGAUUUUCUUCAAGUUCGAGUUGCUGCUACUGUAUUCUUUUGUGAGAGGUAAGCUGAUGGGUUCUUUCAUUUGUACACUAGGGUUUGGGGUUCUCUGAUCAGAAUAUAUCGGCUGGUCUGGUGAUUGCUCAACCGCCGUCGAUUUUUGAGGUGCCGCCCAGGUUGAGCCCCGCAAUUCUGCUUGACUCGCUAAAUUUCAGUUUGUUUUCGCCUACACAGGUAAUUCAAUUUAACUUUGUCUGACCUAAAGUUUCUUCAUUUAUUCAUUAGAUUUUAGCUUGUUUAGGAAAGCUUUCAUUUUUAUUGGGUUUCGCAUUUAAAUGCUAAUAAUCCUUGGGUUUGAAUUUUGAUUUUUUUUUUUUUGGAGGGAUGGAAAAUUUUCUUCAUUGCCUUGAUUUGUUAGCAGUCGGUUGGAAUUUUGAAUUAGAGCUUGCUGAAGCAUUUAUUAUAGAAUUUAUAAAUGUGCCCUGUAAUUGGGAUAAAAACUCUUGACUUAAUUAAUCUGACAGAAGAACAUUUUGAGCAAUGUUGUAAUGUGAUUGUGCAUUGCUGAGAUAAUCUCAUCUUGUUUUGGUAUUCUAAGUAUCCAAAUGGACUGGAUAGUAGGCUAUCCAGGUCAAGUUUUAAUGGUAAUUGGGCAUUUUUCUUUCCUGAUUUUAGUUUCAUCUCUUUUUAGAUGAAGCAUAUGGUUAAUGCAAACAAUUAACGAAAGAAAAGCUCUUGGUAUUACUAGUGUUGGAGAUCCAAUUGUCUUCAUGUAAACUGUGAACACUUUUAACUCCCAUAUCUAAGAUAUAGAGAUCUUUAUGUAGCUUUAAGCCAAAUAUGUGAGAAAUUCUCCAAUCUAGUCACAACUUUAUUAGCAACCAAGAAUGAAAGAGUAUUAGCUUCCAGUUAUAAUUUGAUGACCGGAGCUUGAAUGAGUGAGUGAUAACUUGUAUUGUCUAUAUUGCUUUGUAUGUCAUGCCUCACUGGCAUUAUGUUACUUGGGUAUCCAAAUUUUGCGUUUAUCUAUUACUAAUUUCCCUGAUUCAUUGGAUGCAACCUAGGGAGCCUUUAGAAUGAAGCACUAGCAGGCCCUAGCACAGGUCACUGCCCAAGCUG